GUUUUUCUCUGUCGUAUCGAUAUGGCCGUUUCAACAAGUCAGAAGAUCACCUUGAUCUCUUGCAUCGUCCUCUGUAUGUCUUUAUUCCUACCCAAAUUAUUUUUACCCAGAGUGAAGAAAGAAACAGCGCAGUCGAAGGGUAAGAUGAGACAAAAAUGUAAUCCUUCGUCAUCCCUCAUUUAGUGUUUCAGUAAUGUCAGUGCUGAUUUGACCAUCCCUGUGAUCUCUGUGCUCAGGUCCCCUGUUAACCUCUACCAGCUCCCCGUGUGUGGCUUCAUAAUUUGGACCAGGACAUUUUCCUCCCCCACGACACAGACAUUCAUUCUCUGAAGAUCAUGAUCACUGGGACACAGACUCUCAUUACAUCAAGCAUUACAACCCAGAGGCCAUUGCCAGAGCCAAAGGUGUUGGCAAGCCGAAUCUCCUGGGCCAGGUCAUCCCCGUCUAUGGCUUUGGGAUUUUCCUUUAUAUCAUCUACUUGUUCUUUAAAGUGAGUCUUAUCAGAAGCUAUUUGGAAAACGGCUCCGUUCAGCAGCUCUCCUCUGACCUCUAAGGACAAACCUCAUCGACAAGGGUGCAGAUUCCCUAUGCUGCAGUCAGAAUACACAUUUGAAGAUAUGCCUACUUGUCAGCUGGUGCAGAUGCAGGCCAGAAUGAGUGAAAAAGCCAGAGAAAAGAGAAUAUCUAAAGUUGUCCACCCAUCUGCCAGGUCACGCAGGGGCACACGGAGGCGUGAAGAGAGAAAGCUCAAACAGUUGAAGGAGAUAACCCAAAUGAUGCGGGAGAGACAGUUACGAGAGGAAGCUUCGCCAGAGGAGGAAGCCGAGGAGGCCCCCUACACUGUAGACUGGGAAGGUAUACUUCAAGGCUUUGUGUUGGGUCCGCUGUUGUUUCUUGGUCCUUGAAUUAAAUUUUAUUCACUGCUUCCCAAGGUUAUCCAGACGAGACCUACCCAGAGUAUGACAUUACCUCCCGUAGACGCAGAUUUCCUAGUGUUAUACUUGAAGAACCAGACCAAGUCAUACCCACAGCAGAGGAGCUUGCUGAGAGAAUGGAGAAGGAAGAAGAGGAGGAGGAAGAUGAGCCUGAUGAUGCGUGUACUAAUGAGGAAGUAAGUGGAGAAUAAUGAAGGAGAAAAAGAAGAUGACGACAAAGAAGAAGAAGAAGAGGAAUAUGAAGAGGAGGAGGAGGAGGAAGAUGAAGAUGAGGAGGAGGAUGAGGACGAGAUUAGAGAAGACCAGCCCUGUCUUCCUAAAAGUAUUGAUGUGGAUGAUGAGAAACUUGAGUACACAGGUGAAAACAAAGAGGAAAAGAAACCAAGCAGGAGAAGACGACAAAUCACCUUUAGCGAUCACAGACACGUCUUUCAUUAUCCAAAGGGUGGAGCUGUUGGCUGCAAGUAUGAGGAAGAGGAGGAAGAAGAACAUGAUGGAGAAGAAGAGGAGGAGGAGGAGGAUGGUGAAGGGAAUGAAGAGGAAGAAAAUGGGGAUGAUGAAGACUGUGAAGAAGAAGAGGAAGAUCAGCAUAAUGAAGACGGGCAGAGUGAGACGGAAAAGGAGGAGGAGGAUCCGCUGAUGGAGGCUGAGAGCCUGGGAUUUAAUGAUGAAGUGGAAUGUGAAUCUGAGGAACAGGAAGUAGGCCUCAUUGACUUCCUACAAACAUACCAACCUGAGGUAACCCUCAUCUCCAACAAGUCAGAGUCUACCAAAGCUCAAGCCUCUGGGACUCUUCGAAUGCGUCACAAGAAACAGAAGGUGAAGAAGUGACCAGCCUGUUAAAAUAUAUAUAUAUAUAUAUAUAUAUAUAUAUAUAGUCUUGUGUUCGUUUACCCUCUAGUUCAAACAUACCUUACUAUGAAUCUUUCUUGCUUUGCUUAAGGAAACUUUUCUGAGAUUUCAUUAAUCUGUUUCCAAGAACAGCUAGAGAACAUUUUAGAGUAUGUUGUGUCAAAAUUUUUCCAAAGAAAGUCUUUGCCAAUAAAACAUUUC
Cyprinus carpio carpio is the source of this 1988-nucleotide long non-coding RNA. NCBI's taxonomy places the organism in Eukaryota, Metazoa, Chordata, Actinopteri, Cypriniformes, Cyprinidae. The record is from Ensembl.